Molecule: ribosomal RNA, 28 nt
Filed under: Cataxia maculata
Lineage: Eukaryota; Metazoa; Arthropoda; Arachnida; Araneae; Idiopidae
Also listed under: 1 other name
Description: partial 28S ribosomal RNA
Source: RNAcentral
UCGACCUCAGAUCAGACGAGAUGACCCG